RNAcentral lists this ribosomal RNA (468 nucleotides) under uncultured bacterium. Its description in RNAcentral is "partial 16S ribosomal RNA". It matches the Rfam family "Bacterial small subunit ribosomal RNA", at positions 28 to 507 of the family's 1533-position model. The record is from RNAcentral.
GACGAACGCUGGCGGCGUGCUUAACACAUGCAAGUCGAACGGAAAGGCCCUGCUUUUGUGGGGUGCUCGAGUGGCGAACGGGUGAGUAACACGUGAGUAACCUGCCCUUGACUUUGGGAUAACUUCAGGAAACUGGGGCUAAUACUGGAUAGGAGCUCCUGCUGCAUGGUGGGGGUUGGAAAGUUUCGGCGGUUGGGGAUGGACUCGCGGCUUAUCAGCUUGUUGGUGGGGUAGUGGCUUACCAAGGCUUUGACGGGUAGCCGGCCUGAGAGGGUGACCGGCCACAUUGGGACUGAGAUACGGCCCAGACUCCUACGGGAGGCAGCAGUGGGGAAUAUUGCACAAUGGGCGGAAGCCUGAUGCAGCAACGCCGCGUGCGGGAUGACGGCCUUCGGGUUGUAAACCGCUUUCGCCUGUGACGAAGCGUGAGUGGCGGUAAUGGGUAAAGAAGCACCGGCUAACUACGUG